GAUGAAGAACGUAGCGAAAUGCGAUACGUAAUGUGAAUUGCAGAAUUCAGUGAAUCAUCGAGUCUUUGAACGCACAUUGCGCCCCCUGGUAUUCCGGGGGGCAUGCCUGUCCGAGCGUCAUUGCUGCCCUCAAGCACGGCUUGUGUGUUGGGCCUCCGUCCUCCUCCCGGGGGACGGGCCCGAAAGGCAGCGGCGGCACCGCGUCCGAUCCUCGAGCGUAUGGGGCUUCGUCACCCGCUCUUGUAGGCCCGGCCGGCGCUUGCCGACACAUCAAUCUUUUUUCCAGGUUGACCUCGGAUCAGGUAGGGAUACCCGCUGAACUUAAGCAUAUCAAUAAGCGGAGGA
Molecule: unclassified non-coding RNA, 345 nt
Filed under: soil metagenome
Description: partial contains 5.8S ribosomal RNA, internal transcribed spacer 2, and large subunit ribosomal RNA
Rfam family: 5.8S ribosomal RNA (bases 1-120)
Source: RNAcentral